RNAcentral lists this long non-coding RNA (2464 nucleotides) under Homo sapiens (human). RNAcentral describes it as "HSALNT0310895". Lineage: Eukaryota; Metazoa; Chordata; Mammalia; Primates; Hominidae. The record is from RNAcentral.
GACCUUUACGCCAAACUCCGGCGCGCCGCGAGACUCGCGUCCUCGCUGUCCCCGAGGGGCCCCACCCCUUCCCGGUUCUAACCUGCGACCUGGCCAGAGGCAAGGGUAGGUCGACUUCCUGCCCGGAAUUUGCCGUUGGCUUCUCCUUCUCUACUCCAGUUCUUUAGUGCAGGGCUGUGCGGCGCGGAGCCGCCAGCGGCAGAACAGACCCCGGAGCGGAGCUCUGGGAUACACACACGCGCAGCCCGGAGGGACUGACCCCGGAGGCGCGCUCGGCCGGGAGAGGGAGGGGACCAGGGCCAGCGCGGAGGCGGGGGUCACCUGGGGUUGGGGGUGGGCGCACCAGCCCUCCGCACGCUCCUCUCUUUCUAGUCCUCGCCGCCACCACCUCGCACAGUGAAUGGGAAGAUGGAGAUGGAUGUUGAGGGAGUUUCUCCGCGCCCGGAGCCCAUCCCCCGCUCCCAGGGGGCUGGCGGAGCCUGCCAGGCGCCGCCACAGCCGCCCCAGCCCCAGCCGCCGCCUCAGCAGCUGGCUCAGGAUGAACUGCCCGGCGAGAGUGCAGGCGCUGAGGACAGCGACGAUCCCGAGACGAGACCCAACGGCGAGAAAGGAGAGAGCAAGUAUUUCAGUGACAUCAUCCACUCAGGAGAGUUGGGGCGAGGCUGGCUGAGGUUCUCAAGGAGCUGAGUUUUGAGUUCAGGUGCUCGUGUAGCAGUGGAAUGAUGCCUCCUGACCUUUCAGACCUUUGAGACCUCUGGGCGGUCUUAGAAAUCACUUCAAGCCUCCAGUCCAGGAUACGACUGCCUAGGGGAAUUCCAGGGAAAGGUGGCAGAGAUGCCAUGGACUACAAGGUGAUGAAUACCACUAUGAGCUCACUACAAGAUCUCAAAGAUUUCAAGCCACUGGCUGUUACAAAGCAUAAAGCCACCCUUCUGGAGCAGCGGCGGGAGGCAGGCUGGGAGGAGGCCCCAAGUUUUGGCCAGACGAUAGACCACCUCCUUAGGUGUCCGGGGAGCUGCUGAAACAUAAUGAGGAAGAUGCUGCUGAUCCAAAGGAUAAAAACACAGAAACUAGAACCAAGAAGCACCUAAAGUGGACUCAUGCCCAGCAUCCCUGCAGACUGACUUUCUCUGAGCUAUAGUUCUGCAUUGGACUGUUUUUCCUUUGCUAUCACCUGCCCAACACACAAUCCUGGAUGCUUUUGAUUGGUUGGAUUUCUUUUUUUUUUUUCCUGCCUUUUCUUUUUCUUUCCUUGACCCUGGGAAUUAUAAACGAGAAAUUGCUUUAAAAAGUAUUGUUCUGUGCUAAAAUUAGCCUUGUUUAUGAACAAGUUUUAUCCCUAGGGAUUUCCUGAAUUGCAAUCCCAGAUUACCUUGUAAAUGGGGCUGUGUUGUUUGAUUUGUAUAGUACUGAUCUGUAGGUUAAAAUACGUUUCCUUUCUUUUGUUUCAUUCUUUUUUUAAAAGUCUGGAUCCAGGUAAUGGCCUGAGUCACAUUUGCUUAGCUACUGAAGCGAUCUCAAUAUGUUAUCGCUUAGAGUUGAAACAUAAUCAAACAUACGUUAUACCUGGGGCUCUUGCACACUAUUUGAUAUAUAUAUGUUACUCUACAAAGAAACACAAACCUUGUAUGUUGAAAUGUAAUUCCUGUUUGAUCCUGCAGCUAGAAUGCUAAAGAAAUUGCAAAUAUCAAAAGUGACUUCAAAUACCCUGAAUAUAAGCUAGUCAACAGUAAGUGGAUGGUUCCAGAAUACCAUAUUCUAAGACAAAGCAGGAAUUAGAGAUCAACUGACCUCAUCCAUAAUGUUGCUCAGGUCUGUCUGUGGAUCUGUCCAUUUUGGAGUAAAAAACAAGGCAUGCUUCUGUGAUUGUGUUUAUGAAAACUGUAGUAUUUCAGAUUUAUGUUUUGCAAUUGUGCCUGCCUUGCAAUAAAACACCUUCAGUUGACUCAGCAAUAAGGUCUCUGUCAAUUUCCUGCAAAACUGUGUCCUUAUUGGCUUUCUAAAAAAGUCCAGUGUAGACCUAUCAGUGGUGACCUGCUAGACAUUUCAGCUGGAUCUAGCAUUAUUGCUCUUUCAGAAAUAGCACUAGAGCUGUCCAUUGUCUACACAUGGGGUCAGAGUUGUAUGGUCAGAUUCUCAAUUCUUCAUAUUACCAUCAGCUACAGAAAUCUCUAGUCACAGCCUAACCCUGUUACAUAUAUGUGCUGCCAUCUGCCAUUGUGUUCUAACUCUGGAGUCCCUAUUUAUUUCUGAGAUUUUAGGACAAGACAAAAAUCCUCUGGACCUCAGUGUCCUCAUAUACAAAAUGGGAAUAAUGAUACUUCCUAUGAUUGUGGUGAUAAGUGCCUGUAAAAGGACAUCACAUGGAUGGUACUUUGCACGUUGUAAAUUCAUUGGGAUGUGGCAAUGUUCAAUAAAUGGUGGUUAUUUUAUUUGUUAAUAAAGAAUUGAAUGAAUUUCUAAA